GGGUCAGAGGGACACUUAUACCCAUACUCUUCGUGAGCUACUCUUGAUAGCAGAGUGCUUCACAAUUGGUCACGUUCAGUGACGAUAUACUCCUACAUCUCAUCUGCAUGCCAUAUCAGUAUCUCCAUAUCAUUUGAUUAUAAGGACAACCAACGCAUGUGGCACACAAUGACCUACACUUGAUAUCGCUAUUGUCCUAGUAAUAGCAUAUCGUUUAAUCACGAAUUAGUUUAAGAACUAUGCGAUAAAUUCUCC
Molecule: long non-coding RNA, 255 nt
Filed under: Elaeis guineensis (African oil palm)
Lineage: Eukaryota; Viridiplantae; Streptophyta; Magnoliopsida; Arecales; Arecaceae
Description: long non-coding RNA (EGUI_LNC065934)
Source: RNAcentral